This 253-nucleotide ribosomal RNA is filed under the name uncultured bacterium. RNAcentral's name for it is "partial 16S ribosomal RNA". It matches the Rfam family "Bacterial small subunit ribosomal RNA", at positions 524 to 776 of the family's 1533-position model. The record is from RNAcentral.
UACGUAGGGUGCGAGCGUUAAUCGGAAUUACUGGGCGUAAAGCGCACGUAGGCGGUUUUUUAAGUCAGAUGUGAAAGCCCCGGGCUCAACCUGGGAAUUGCAUUUGAAACUGGGAAACUAGAGUGUGUGAGAGGGGGGUAGAAUUCCAAGUGUAGCGGUGAAAUGCGUAGAGAUUUGGAGGAAUACCAGUGGCGAAGGCGGCCCCCUGGCACACUACUGACGCUGAGGUGCGAAAGCGUGGGGAGCAAACAGG